GACGAACGCUGGCGGCGUGCCUAACACAUGCAAGUCGAACGGAGUCAUACGCUGGGCGGCCUUCGGGCCAAUCUUGUAUGACUUAGUGGCGGACGGGUGAGUAACGCGUGAGCAACCUGCCUUUCACAGGGGGAUAACACUGGGAAACCAGUGCUAAUACCGCAUAAUAUUGUUUUAUCGCAUGGUAAGACAAUCAAAGGAGCAAUCCGGUGAAAGAUGGGCUCGCGUCCGAUUAGCUAGAUGGUGAGGUAAAGGCUCACCAUGGCGACGAUCGGUAGCCGGACUGAGAGGUUGAACGGCCACAUUGGGACUGAGACACGGCCCAGACUCCUACGGGAGGCAGCAGUGGGGGAUAUUGCACAAUGGGCGCAAGCCUGAUGCAGCAACGCCGCGUGAGGGAAGAAGGUUUUCGGAUUGUAAACCUCUGUCUUUGGUGACGAAAAAAAUGACGGUAGCCAAGGAGGAAGCCACGGCUAACUACGUGCCAGCCGCCGCAGUA
RNAcentral lists this ribosomal RNA (499 nucleotides) under uncultured bacterium. RNAcentral describes it as "bacterial SSU rRNA". It matches the Rfam family "Bacterial small subunit ribosomal RNA", at positions 28 to 522 of the family's 1533-position model. The record is from RNAcentral.